AGGGUAGUAGCUCAACUGGCAGAGCAGAGCACCGGUCUCCAAAACCGGCGGUUGGGGGUUCGAGUCCCUCCUGCCCUG
RNAcentral lists this transfer RNA (78 nucleotides) under Propionibacteriaceae bacterium. RNAcentral describes it as "tRNA-Trp". It matches the Rfam family "tRNA". From Rfam's summary of the family: Transfer RNA (tRNA) molecules are approximately 80 nucleotides in length. Lineage: Bacteria; Bacillati; Actinomycetota; Actinomycetes; Propionibacteriales; Propionibacteriaceae. The record is from RNAcentral.